GCGGGAGUGCCGGAGUGGCCAAACGGGCUAGCUUCAGAGGCUAGUAGCUUAGUGCUUACACAGGUUCAAAUCCUGUCUCCCGCA
RNAcentral lists this transfer RNA (84 nucleotides) under Candidatus Pacearchaeota archaeon CG06_land_8_20_14_3_00_35_12. RNAcentral's name for it is "tRNA-Leu". It matches the Rfam family "tRNA". From Rfam's summary of the family: Transfer RNA (tRNA) molecules are approximately 80 nucleotides in length. Their secondary structure includes four short double-helical elements and three loops (D, anti-codon, and T loops). Further hydrogen bonds mediate the characteristic L-shaped molecular structure. tRNAs have two regions of fundamental functional importance: the anti-codon, which is responsible for specific mRNA codon recognition, and the 3' end, to which the tRNAs corresponding amino acid is attached (by aminoacyl-tRNA synthetases). tRNAs cope with the degeneracy of the genetic code in two manners: having more than one tRNA (with a specific anti-codon) for a particular amino acid; and 'wobble' base-pairing, i.e. permitting non-standard base-pairing at the 3rd anti-codon position. The record is from RNAcentral. Lineage: Archaea; Nanobdellati.